GACGAACGCUGGCGGCGUGCUUAACACAUGCAAGUCGAACGGAAAGGCCCUGCUUUUGUGGGGUGCUCGAGUGGCGAACGGGUGAGUAACACGUGAGUAACCUGCCCUUGACUUUGGGAUAACGUCAGGAAACUGGGGCUAAUACCGGAUAGGAGCUCCUGCUGCAUGGUGGGGGUUGGAAAGUUUCGGCGGUUGGGGAUGGACUCGCGGCUUAUCAGCUUGUUGGUGGGGUAGUGGCUUACCAAGGCUUUGACGGGUAGCCGGCCUGAGAGGGUGACCGGCCACAUUGGGACUGAGAUACGGCCCAGACUCCUACGGGAGGCAGCAGUGGGGAAUAUUGCACAAUGGGCGGAAGCCUGAUGCAGCAACGCCGCGUGCGGGAUGACGGCCUUCGGGUUGUAAUCCGCUUUCGCCUGUGACGAAGCGUGAGUGACGGUAAUGGGUAAAGAAGCACCGGCUAACUCCGUG
This 468-nucleotide ribosomal RNA is filed under the name uncultured bacterium. RNAcentral describes it as "partial 16S ribosomal RNA". It matches the Rfam family "Bacterial small subunit ribosomal RNA", at positions 28 to 507 of the family's 1533-position model. The record is from RNAcentral.